CUGGUGUCAGCCGCCGCGGUAAUACCAGCACCCCGAGUGGUCGGGACGAUUAUUGGGCCUAAAGCAUCCGUAGCCGGCCUUACAAGUCCUCCGUUAAAUCCAGCUGCUUAACAGAUGGGCUGCGGAGGAUACUAUAAGACUAGGAGGCAGGAGAGGCAAGCGGUACUCAGUGGGUAGGGGUAAAAUCCGUUGAUCCAUUGAAGACCACCAGUGGCGAAGGCGGCUUGCCAGAAUGCGCUCGACGGUGAGGGAUGAAAGCUGGGGGAGCAAACCGGAUUAGAUACCCGGGUAGUCCCAGCUGUAAACGAUGCAGACUCGGUGAUGGACUAGCUUUAUGCUGGUCCAGUGCCGCAGGGAAGCCGUUAAGUCUGCCGCCUGGGUAGUACGGUCGCAAGACUGAAACUUAAAG
RNAcentral lists this ribosomal RNA (409 nucleotides) under uncultured Nitrososphaerota archaeon. RNAcentral's name for it is "bacterial SSU rRNA". It matches the Rfam family "Archaeal small subunit ribosomal RNA", at positions 452 to 861 of the family's 1478-position model. Lineage: Archaea; Thermoproteati; Nitrososphaerota. The record is from RNAcentral.